UACGUAGGGGGCAAGCGUUGUCCGGAAUCAUUGGGCGUAAAGCGCGUGUAGGCGGCCCGGUAAGUCCGCUGUGAAAGUCCAGGGCUCAACCCUGGGAUGCCGGUGGAUACUGUCGGGCUCGAGUCCGGAAGAGGAGUGUGGAAUUCCUGGUGUAGCGGUGAAAUGCGCAGAUAUCAGGAGGAACACCAAUGGCGAAGGCAGCACUCUGGGACGUGACUGACGCUGAGACGCGAAAGCGUGGGAGCAAACAGG
RNAcentral lists this ribosomal RNA (252 nucleotides) under uncultured bacterium. RNAcentral's name for it is "partial 16S ribosomal RNA". It matches the Rfam family "Bacterial small subunit ribosomal RNA", at positions 524 to 776 of the family's 1533-position model. The record is from RNAcentral.